Molecule: ribosomal RNA, 253 nt
Filed under: uncultured bacterium
Lineage: Bacteria
Description: partial 16S ribosomal RNA
Rfam family: Bacterial small subunit ribosomal RNA
Source: RNAcentral
UACAGAGGGUGCAAGCGUUGUUCGGAAUUAUUGGGCGUAAAGCGCGUGUAGGCGGCUUUGCAAGUCGGGUGUGAAAGCCCUCGGCUCAACCGAGGAAGUGCGCCCGAAACUGCAGAGCUUGAGUACCGGAGAGGAUGGCGGAAUUCCCCAAGUAGAGGUGAAAUUCGUAGAUAUGGGGAGGAACACCGGUGGCGAAGGUGGCCAUCUGGACGGAUACUGACGCUGAGACGCGAAAGCGUGGGGAGCAAACGGG